UACGGGAGGCAGCAGUGGGGAAUAUUGGACAAUGGGGGAAACCCUGAUCCAGCGACGCCGCGUGAGUGAAGAAGUAUUUCGGUAUGUAAAGCUCUAUCAGCAGGGAAGAAAAUGACGGUACCUGACUAAGAAGCCCCGGCUAACUACGUGCCAGCAGCCGCGGUAAU
RNAcentral lists this ribosomal RNA (167 nucleotides) under uncultured bacterium. Its description in RNAcentral is "partial 16S ribosomal RNA". It matches the Rfam family "Bacterial small subunit ribosomal RNA", at positions 340 to 524 of the family's 1533-position model. The record is from RNAcentral.